CAGUAGCCGCGGUAAUACAGAGGGUGCGAGCGUUAAUCGGAUUUACUGGGCGUAAAGCGUGCGUAGGCGGCUUUUUAAGUCGGAUGUGAAAUCCCCGAGCUUAACUUGGGAAUUGCAUUCGAUACUGGUUAGCUAGAGUGUGGGAGAGGAUGGUAGAAUUCCAGGUGUAGCGGUGAAAUGCGUAGAGAUCUGGAGGAAUACCGAUGGCGAAGGCAGCCAUCUGGCCUAACACUGACGCUGAGGUACGAAAGCAUGGGGAGCAAACAGGAUUAGAUACCCCUGUAGUCCCUGUCUCUUAUAA
This 301-nucleotide ribosomal RNA is filed under the name uncultured bacterium. Its description in RNAcentral is "partial 16S ribosomal RNA". It matches the Rfam family "Bacterial small subunit ribosomal RNA", at positions 509 to 809 of the family's 1533-position model. The record is from RNAcentral.